Lagenorhynchus albirostris (white-beaked dolphin) is the source of this 3837-nucleotide long non-coding RNA. RefSeq lists it as uncharacterized. The record is from RefSeq and is a predicted model, not a curated record. The transcript is spliced from 2 exons. Lineage: Eukaryota; Metazoa; Chordata; Mammalia; Artiodactyla; Delphinidae.
CUCCCCACUCCCGCCUCGUACUCCCCAUCAGCCUUCUCCGUCUCACUUGUUCCGCCUCCUGCCCCAGCUCUGGCUCCUUUUCCGUCUCUAGCUCUGCCUCCAGCUUUGGCUCUUGGUCUUUCUCCACGUCUUUCUCUCCCUUGGCCUCCUUUGGCAGCUCCUGACUCCUCUGUCGCCCAUACCACUGAGUGAAAUCAUUCAGAGCCUCAGCCCAGACCCGGCUGCUGUUCUUGGCAAAGAGGAACUGUGCCUGGGGUACAAAACCUAGGUCUGGCCCAUGCUGAACCGAAGUAGCGGGCAGUGUCCAGUGUACCUGUAGCACAAGUCUCACCCACUCACCUCUAGAAUCCCCGGCCUCACCAUCCCCAGAGGCAGAAGCAGAGACCUCUGAAGCCCUGAUCUCUUCUGGACUCAGCUGUGUAUAUAUUUGGAGCAGGCAUUUCUUAGUUCUCUGUCUGGGUUUUCAACCCUUCCCCUCUGCUGCUACCCUGUUACCAUGGAGAGCACAACACAAAGCUUCAUAGCAGGCCCGGCUACUACUGUUCCCUUGCUUUUCCUUUUCCAUCCAACAUCAUAGACAUCCCAGCCAUAAGCCUCCCAUACCAGAACGUCCACCUGGCCCCCAAGGCCGAGGUGGCACAACUCUGCCACCUUUUACACCCUUUUACACCCCUGUUCCCAGAAGCAAACACGUGUGCUCUGGGCAGAAGUCUUACCCUGGGAUAUAAUGAGGGUUCUGAGGGUUCAGCCCUGGUAUGAAGGUGCUAGCCAUAGCCUUGGGAACCCAGGCGAAGUUCCCUUCGUUUCUCUGAGCCGUUUCUCUGAGCUGAGCUCCUGGGCUGUGUGUGCUGACUGUGUCAAGGGCUGGGAGGCCGAGCCAGAGGCAGGAGGUGGGGCUUGGGGAGGAGAGAGGGGUUGGGGCACUAGUGUGAUGGCUGUCAGGGCCCGGGCCGCAGGGGAGUAGAGGCUCACUGGUCCGUCCACUCCGGAUCAAGGGCAGCCCUGCCACCUGGGGGCAGGGAGAAGGCCGCGUACAGCCUUGCCACUGCAGAACCAAAGGAAGCCCUGAAGUGGCAGGUGGGGGAGCAAAAACUGACAGGCCCAUUGAGCUCUGUCUCGAAAGAGGGCCCUUCCUUCCUAAGCCCCUCUCUGAGCACCUGCCUGAGGAGGUGUGGAUUGUACGCUCUGUGAGUCUUGGUUGAAGGUGAUGGAAUUCCUAGGAAAGCCCAGGGGGGAGGUGAUAGGGAGAAAAGGAACCUAAAGACCUCUAGGCAGUGACAUUGUUUAUUUUCAGUAACGUAAGGACAAGAAUUACUACUAUAAUCCGGAUCAUCAUCCAUUCAACAAAUAUGCCGUGCUCUGCCAGGCAUGCCGUACAGGGGCAGAACGUCAUUUAGUAUCUCUGAACCCUACUAUCCUCAUUUAUAAAAUGCAGGUGCUGCUGUUGUGAGGCUCAGAUUAAUGUAUGCAGAUGUGCUUUGUAACAAACACCUUGAAGCCAGAAUGUGGGGUAGGGGAAAGGGCACAGGCGUGAAGUCAGGCAGCCAUGGGCUCCUAACAGCUUGUGAGCUUGAGCCGACCUUACCUUCUCUGAGCAGGUGGCUUCUUCUGAACCUGAAAUCCCUAAACUCUUAACAUGAAGGUUAAAAUAGCCUAACCUACCAAGGUGGUGUCAAAAAUAAAGUCAGAUAGUGUGUGUGAAAGAACUUACCCCAGCACCUGGCACGCAGCUGCUAAAACUUAAUUUCCUUUCCUAUUGUUUAGUAUCGUCUCUAAGCGUCUAACACAAAUGGGAGAUCAAUGGAUGGUUAGUAAAUUCAGGGGUUACAGGUUUUCUCACUGGGGGGGUUCAAGGGAAGGAGAUAUGAAGGUAAUGUUGAGGUUUAAUGAGGGGGCAAAUUAGAAUUUGUUAAGAAAACAAUUCAGAUCCUAAGAGCAGUACAGACCAGGAAAAAGAUGCGGGGAGGGGAGCAUGAUUAGAACUUCACGGCUGGUUCAGGGCCAGGCUGGUCCACCUUUCCAGGACGCAGAGCCUCUGCUCUCCUCCCCACGCCUGACUGUGCCAGUGCCUGGGCUAACCCAGCAUGUGUCACUGACUUCUUGGGAAUUGCACAAGAGGGCCCCAAAGAAUACAUUUCAUGCUCCUCAGUGUUCUGCCAAGAACACUUGGUAUGUGUCACUGAGAGCUAGAGUUAGAGAGGACUUGGCUCCCAGGAAAUAUGCUAGAGUGAGGGUGGGAGCUGAGGGGAGAGCCCAGAAGAGCAGGAAUAUGUCAAGGCUAACAACCUGGACUUCUGGAUUCUGUAACAGACACUGUUGGUUGCACACCUCAUACCUAUUCCCUACCCCCGUCUCCCUUCUUCCUAACAGAACUUUAAUUUUGUUCUGCCAAGCAGUCAGGAACUUCAGGGAAGCUGGAGCCAGCCGUAGGAAUGAGUCUGGAUUAGUCUAAGCCCAUCAUAGUAGUCCCAUUCCCCUUGCCAGUGACUGGUUAGGCAUGGGCUUGUGGCAACCUGGACAGUAUGAGGGCAAGUCUGCUGGGGUGAAGGAGUGUCCUGGGAAGAGUUUCUUUGCUCUUAAAAAGAUGCACAACAAAUUAGAGAAAGAGAGAUGGACAAGGAGGAAUGAUGUCUUUUCCUGCCUCUAGAAAUUCUGUGGAUGUGAUGCUGGAACCUUGGCAGGCAUCAUGAAACCUGUGGAAAGCUAAGCUAACCUGGGAACAAAGCCUGAAUCCAUGCAGGGUGGAUGGCAGAAUAGCAAGGCCUGGGUCCUUGAUGGUAAUGUUGAGCCUCUGACUUAACCAACCUUCUUAUGAAAUAAUUUCAUUAUUGUUAAGGCCACUUUAAGUUUUCUUUUACUUAGAGCCAAAGGCGUCAUAAUAUAAAAGUAAAACAAAACAAAACAAAAACACUAGUUCUAAAAACAAAAACAAAACGCUAGUUCUAAUCCUAGUCACUAGAGAUACAGACCCUGGCCAAAUUCAUCUCAUCAGCCCUCAGUUUUCUCAUCUAUAAAAUGGGUAAACUAAUGUUACUACCUCAUUGAGCAGGAUAUGGUAGAUGAGAUGAUGCAAAAAGAGCAGCUGGCCCAGUGUCUAACUUGCUAAUAAGUAAAUAGCAAUUCAUUGUGUUUAGUUAGAAUUUGGUAGGAUGGGAGAAAAGAAAAAAGUAGUAAGACUGGGAGUUCGGGGGAAAGAAUCUGUGAAGUUGAGAAAUGGAAAGGUUAGAAUUUAAAAUUGGGAUGUAGAUUAAGAUGCAGGGACUGGAACAAUUUCUGCAGAAAAGACCAUGGCAGCUAGAAUCUGGGUAAGCGUUAAUAUAAGUUAGGAAACAAAUUAUAAUUAGUCUUAGAUUCAUGGUUUGUGAAGAAACAGCUCACUGUUCUUGGUGAAAUGGCUUGUUACUAUUAUUGUUUCCAUCUGUGUAAAGAGUAUUUCUAAAUCCCUGAAGAUUGGAAGGACAUUCUAACCUGGGAAAGGAGUGGAAGAGCUAGCUGAGGGGCCUGUAGGAAUGCUCAUUGCCUUGGUGCCUCCUUCCGAGGGACAGUCAUGGUAACCUACCCACAACUUGUUCCUGACGACAGCUGCCACACCCAGCGGCCAGUGUUGGAUGUGGCAGCAGAGAAAUGUUUCGCUGGAUUACACCCAUCUACAAGAUGAAGGUCCAGUUAGGAAAGUCACGACAGUGCCCUGCUCACUCCACACAGCCUGCUGGGUCUCCCAGAUGGCAGUCUACAACUCUCUUGUGCUCUGCCUUUGAUCUGACCGGGAAUUGCUGUAAAAUUUCAUGUAAAUAAAUACAAAUAGCGAAUCAUGUCGUACACCUGAAACUAAUAUAA